AGAGUUUGAUCUUGGCUCAGGAUGAACGCUAGCUACAGGCUUAACACAUGCAAGUCGAGGGGAAACGAUAGAGAAAGCUUGCUUUUUCUAGGCGUCGACCGGCGCACGGGUGAGUAACGCGUAUCCAACCUGCCCACCACUUGGGGAUAACCUUGCGAAAGUAAGACUAAUACCCAAUGACGUCUCUAGAAGGCAUCUGAAAGGGAUUAAAGAUUUAUCGGUGAUGGAUGGGGAUGCGUCUGAUUAGCUUGUUGGCGGGGUAACGGCCCACCAAGGCUACGAUCAGUAGGGGUUCUGAGAGGAAGGUCCCCCACAUUGGAACUGAGACACGGUCCAAACUCCUACGGGAGGCAGCAGUGAGGAAUAUUGGUCAAUGGGCGAGAGCCUGAACCAGCCAAGUAGCGUGCAGGAUGACGGCCCUAUGGGUUGUAAACUGCUUUUAUAAGGGAAUAAAGUGAGCCUCGUGAGGCUUUUUGCAUGUACCUUAUGAAUAAGGACCGGCUAAUUCCGUGCCAGCAGCCGCGGUAAUACGGAAGGUCCGGGCGUUAUCCGGAUUUAUUGGGUUUAAAGGGAGCGUAGGCCGGAGAUUAAGCGUGUUGUGAAAUGUAGAUGCUCAACAUCUGCACUGCAGCGCGAACUGGUUUCCUUGAGUACGCACAAAGUGGGCGGAAUUCGUGGUGUAGCGGUGAAAUGCUUAGAUAUCACGAAGAACUCCGAUUGCGAAGGCAGCUCACUGGAGCGCAACUGACGCUGAAGCUCGAAAGUGCGGGUAUCGAACAGGAUUAGAUACCCUGGUAGUCCGCACGGUAAACGAUGGAUGCCCGCUGUUGGUCUGAAUAGGUCAGCGGCCAAGCGAAAGCAUUAAGCAUCCCACCUGGGGA
This 881-nucleotide ribosomal RNA is filed under the name uncultured bacterium. RNAcentral's name for it is "bacterial SSU rRNA". It matches the Rfam family "Bacterial small subunit ribosomal RNA", at positions 8 to 879 of the family's 1533-position model. The record is from RNAcentral.